GGGGGAUUAGCUCAGUUGGCUAGAGCGCUUGCCUUGCACGCAAGAGGUCAUCGGUUCGACUCCGAUAUUCUCCACAA
This 77-nucleotide transfer RNA is filed under the name Tenacibaculum dicentrarchi. RNAcentral describes it as "tRNA-Ala". It matches the Rfam family "tRNA". Rfam says of the family: Transfer RNA (tRNA) molecules are approximately 80 nucleotides in length. Their secondary structure includes four short double-helical elements and three loops (D, anti-codon, and T loops). Lineage: Bacteria; Pseudomonadati; Bacteroidota; Flavobacteriia; Flavobacteriales; Flavobacteriaceae. The record is from RNAcentral. RNAcentral also lists the same sequence under 5 other names.